CAUCCCGUCGUCAAAGGGAGUGGCCCCGGUUUCCUAAACCGGAGAUGGAGGUUCGAGUCCUCCCGGGAUGA
This 71-nucleotide transfer RNA is filed under the name Actinomycetota bacterium. RNAcentral describes it as "tRNA-Arg". It matches the Rfam family "tRNA". From Rfam's summary of the family: Transfer RNA (tRNA) molecules are approximately 80 nucleotides in length. Lineage: Bacteria; Bacillati; Actinomycetota. The record is from RNAcentral.